Molecule: unclassified non-coding RNA, 301 nt
Filed under: uncultured fungus
Lineage: Eukaryota; Fungi
Description: partial contains small subunit ribosomal RNA, internal transcribed spacer 1, and 5.8S ribosomal RNA
Rfam family: Eukaryotic small subunit ribosomal RNA (bases 1-73)
Source: RNAcentral
GCAAACUUGGUCAUUUAGAGGAAGUAAAAGUCGUAACAAGGUUUCCGUAGGUGAACCUGCGGAAGGAUCAUUAACAAAUUUCAUGUUGUUGUUGUAUAUGUGUGUGCGUGUGCGUGUGUGACCACAUACACACACACACACACACAAAUACUACACACACAUUCACCCGCACUGUGCCAACGGCGCAGUCGGUCACUUGAACCCGUUUGUAUUGUUUGACUAAUGUGAUAAUAUUAUCAUAUAACGAAAAACAACUUUUAACAAUGGAUCUCUUGGCUCUUGCAUCGAUGAAGAACGCAGC